This 501-nucleotide ribosomal RNA is filed under the name uncultured bacterium. RNAcentral's name for it is "partial 16S ribosomal RNA". It matches the Rfam family "Bacterial small subunit ribosomal RNA", at positions 29 to 523 of the family's 1533-position model. The record is from RNAcentral.
AUUGAACGCUGGCGGCACGCCUUACACAUGCAAGUCGAACGGCAGCACGGGUGCUUGCACCUGGUGGCGAGUGGCGAACGGGUGAGUAAUACAUCGGAACGUACCUUAUCGUGGGGGAUAACGCAGCGAAAGCUGUGCUAAUACCGCAUACGCCCUGAGGGGGAAAGCGGGGGAUCGAAAGACCUCGCGCGAUUAGAGCGGCCGAUGCCUGAUUAGCUUGUUGGUGGGGUAAAAGCCCACCAAGGCGACGAUCAGUAGCUGGUCUGAGAGGACGAUCAGCCACACUGGGACUGAGACACAGCCCAGACUCCUACGGGAGGCAGCAGUGGGGAAUUUUGGACAAUGGGGGCAACCCUGAUCCAGCAAUGCCGCGUGAGUGAAGGAGGCCUUCGGGUUGUAAAGCUCUUUUGUCAGGGAAGAAACACCGGCUCUAACACAGUCCGGGAAUGACGGUACCUGAAGAAUAAGCACCGGCUAACUACGUGCCAGCAGCCGCAGUAA